AAUAUAUUCUUCAAUCGUAUUAUCGGUGAUUAACCGAAUUACCGUUACCUCACGGACUUGUCCAACACGAUGAGCACGGUCUUCAGCCUGCAAAUCAUCGAAUGGAUUAUAAGAGCAGUCAUACAAUAUCACCACAUUUGCACACGCUAAAUUAAUUCCAAAACCGCCAGCUUUUGUUGAAAGAAGGAAUACAGUAACAUCUUCCUCUUUGUGAAAUUGAUCUAUAAUAUCCUGACGUACUUCAACUUGUGUUGAACCAUCCAAUCGAACAUAUGAUAUUUUCAAAGUAUCCAGCACCUGUUCCAAAAUAUCGAGCAUCUGAGUAAACUGACUAAACAAAAGGAUCCUGCUUCCUUCUUCUUUCAUUUUAGGAAGUAAUUCUUUCAACACUCGAAUUUUACCUGAAUCCAUCCAGGGAUCAUCCUUCAACGUAUAUGACUGCAGCGUAGGGAAACUGCGGCAAAGUCGAUGCAAUUCAAAGUCAGACAUAACUUCCAUAUCUUCAUAUAUAUAUUGUUCAUUGGCAUUUUUAUAUUGUUCCUCUUGCAUUAUAUCCUUAGCCAUUUGCUUUAACUUCUCAUCGUCAUAAAAUUUGCGAAAAAGUAAGGCAUGAUUUGCAGCUUUGCGAAGCUGCAUGAGAACAUGACCGGCCGAUAAUGACUUGCCAUCGCUUUCUUCAUCGUUCUUACUACGCUUGUUUCGUUUAUCGUCUCUCCGAAGUUGUUGAUUUUUUUGCAAAGCAGCAUAUCGAUUGUAAAUUUCCAACUGGUUUUCUGAUAACUUACAAUGUUCAAUAAUCUGAGUCUUUUUUGGCAAAUCAUUAAGAACUUGGUUUUUCCGACGGCGAAGGACAAACGGAGUCAUCAUAGUCUUGGCACGGCUAAUACGUUGCUUAGAAAGUAAGGCUUGUUCUAUAUCCGCAUCUGCGGUUGGUUUAGCUUUAAAAAUUACAUCCAAAUCGUCCAUGUCACUGUCAAACAUAUUAGGAAGAAUGAAAGCGAGCAAGGAAACUAAUUCUUUGAGAUUGUUUUGUAAAGGAGUACCAGUCAGCAGCAGUCUAAAGUUAGCGUUAAGGUUCAUGAGAUGUUUGUAACGCUCCGACAUUCUAUUUUUCAAAUAAUGACCUUCGUCGUAAACGCAGACAUCAAAGUUUUGAUGUUUAAGAAAAGAUCGGUCCUCUUUGUUGUUCGUAGCUAACUGAUAAGUAGUAACCAAAAUGUCAUACUUUAUUUCGUUUUCUUCUAUUGCUUCGCGAAUAUUUGCUCGCUCUUGUUGACUUCCGUAGUAAGGUUCCACGCGGAGGCUAGGGCAAAACCGGGCAAGUUCCCUAAGCCAAUUUUCAAGCGUUGAAGAAGGGACUACAA
This is a non-coding RNA of Schizosaccharomyces pombe (fission yeast), 1364 nucleotides long. The record is from the annotation of a GenBank genome assembly. NCBI's taxonomy places the organism in Eukaryota, Fungi, Ascomycota, Schizosaccharomycetes, Schizosaccharomycetales, Schizosaccharomycetaceae.